GAUCUCCUACGGGAGGCAGCAGUGGGGAAUAUUGCGCAAUGGGCGAAAGCCUGACGCAGCCAUGCCGCGUGUGUGAAGAAGGCCUUCGGGUUGUAAAGCACUUUCAGUGGGGAGGAAAGAGUUAGCGUUAAUAGCGCUGACGGUUGACGUUACCCACAGAAGAAGCACCGGCUAACUCCGUGCCAGCAGCCGCGGUAAUACGGAGGGUGCGAGCGUUAAUCGGAAUUACUGGGCGUAAAGCGCACGCAGGCGGUUUGUUAAGCUAGAUGUGAAAGCCCCGGGCUCAACCUGGGAUGGUCAUUUAGAACUGGCAGACUAGAGUCUUGGAGAGGGGAGUGGAAUUCCAGGUGUAGCGGUGAAAUGCGUAGAUAUCUGGAGGAACACCAGUGGCGAAAGCGACA
Molecule: ribosomal RNA, 401 nt
Filed under: uncultured Gammaproteobacteria bacterium
Lineage: Bacteria; Pseudomonadati; Pseudomonadota; Gammaproteobacteria
Description: bacterial SSU rRNA
Rfam family: Bacterial small subunit ribosomal RNA
Source: RNAcentral